GAAAUAGCCGACUAGGGUUCCGACUCGCACGACGAGUGGCUGGUCCGAGAGUUGGCGACCUCCGGUGAGGUUACACGGCGGGACAAAAGCCCGGGAGAA
Molecule: regulatory RNA element, 99 nt
Organism: Pseudomonas sp. BAY1663
Lineage: Bacteria; Pseudomonadati; Pseudomonadota; Gammaproteobacteria; Pseudomonadales; Pseudomonadaceae
Rfam family: Guanidine-I riboswitch aptamer
About the family: This family represents a conserved RNA structure found upstream of the ykkC and yxkD genes in Bacillus subtilis and related genes in other bacteria. The function of this family is unclear although it has been suggested that it may function to switch on efflux pumps and detoxification systems in response to harmful environmental molecules.
Source: Rfam